GGGGGGGAGAGAAGAUGGCCGCCGGUUUGGGCAAACAGAAACCCUGCAAGCCACGCAGGUAUUCCCGACAGCGGUGAAGGUUGGUGGCGGCGCAUCUCAUUGCCAAUCAGUGAUGAACUGGGCAUGGGCAGGAUUCUGGGCAGGACUUAUGUAGACUUCAAAGCCAGCUACUCCGACAGCGUAUCGGAAUAGCCCAUCAGUGGAUGAUGUGGAGAAACCUUGGGAUGAAUGGAAGCUCAUGAAAGCAAGGCAUGUGGAGCUACUGGGAGAGAAAAGGCAAAGUGGGUAUGAACGUCAGUAGACUUCCCAUGACAUUGCUACAAGAUGCUCUCUCCCUGCCCCCCAAAAGGCAAUCACCUGCUAAACACGAGCAACGGGGCAGCAUCUGGUCUCUGAGCGGUAGUCCCCAAGUUCUCAAGUUGGCCAGGAUCAGCUAGAAAACGGCUCAAAGGGGAGUUUGGCAGAUGUCUCUGAAAUGGAUUUCAGCAGCUGCUAAACAUUGUUGUCAACAAAGCUGAGCUGUGGUCUUUUAAAAAAAAGUGCAGUGGGAUUGCUGAAAAGGGCACUGUUGGAAAACAGUGUUUUUGCCUUACAGUUCCCGGAUGUUGUUGCCUUACAAUUCCCACCGCGUGUGGCCAGUGUUGAAGGACAAUAGAAAUUGUUGUCAAGUAACUUUAUGGAAGUCCACUGGCUGCUUGAUCCUGCUCUAGGCGGCUCAAAGCUUCAGCGGAGAACCCUGCUCCGUAACAUCUUUGUGUAGCAGAAAGAAAGAGUGUGUGUUUACUAUGCGACCAGUACUUGCAAUGUCCUCCUUCAUUUCUUAGAUGUUGUGAUGAGCUUGCUUAGGACCUGUUGGGUUGUGUGGGGUCUUGAAAAGGGCCUCUGGACAACUAGAGAACAUGCUUUUGACCUUCCCAAAGCAGGGUUUCCUUUUCUGUGCUUCUGCAGCUCUCGAUGCUCCCGCUAGACUUGUUCACGGAUUCCUUCUGGACUUCCUUCUUUUGGACUCAAACUUCGGUCACAAGUCAAAGACCUUCCUCUUCAGCUAUGUUUUCCAGCAAUAAAGAUUGUGGUACACUCGAAGAAACGCAGCUCAGCAUCUAUGCCACCUCCUCCACUGCCAUGAUGGGGACACCAGCAUCUCACAAGGGUGAGGAUGAAUUUCUGCCCCAAGAUUCAGCAAUGAGCUUCAGAGAUCAUUCUGGAUUUGAAAGCUUGGCUGCGUUCCACUCCACGUCCCAUCGGAUUGGCAGAACCUUCGAGCUGAGCCCACUAGGACGAGUGGAGGCGAACAGGAAUACGAGACAGAAGACCGGAACAAAGAAUGGGAAGAUUUACAUCCCUCCUGAUCAUUUUUCCCCCCAAGCAGUUCAUGUUCUUUCCCAGCAGUGCCUUGCUGAAUGUCCCCCUUCUGUCCUCAAGCUACUCACCUG
Pogona vitticeps (central bearded dragon) is the source of this 1433-nucleotide non-coding RNA. The record is from RefSeq and is a predicted model, not a curated record. Lineage: Eukaryota; Metazoa; Chordata; Lepidosauria; Squamata; Agamidae.